RNAcentral lists this ribosomal RNA (252 nucleotides) under uncultured bacterium. RNAcentral describes it as "partial 16S ribosomal RNA". It matches the Rfam family "Bacterial small subunit ribosomal RNA", at positions 524 to 776 of the family's 1533-position model. The record is from RNAcentral.
UACGAAGGGGGCUAGCGUUGCUCGGAAUUACUGGGCGUAAAGCGCACGUAGGCGGCUCUUUAAGUCGGGGUGAAAUCCUGGAGCUCAACUCCAGAACUGCCUUCGAUACUGAAGAGCUCGAGUCCGGGAGAGGUGAGUGGAACUGCGAGUGUAGAGGUGAAAUUCGUAGAUAUUCGCAAGAACACCAGUGGCGAAGGCGGCUCACUGGCCCGGUACUGACGCUGAGGUGCGAAAGCGUGGGGAGCAAACAGG